This 257-nucleotide ribosomal RNA is filed under the name uncultured bacterium. RNAcentral describes it as "partial 16S ribosomal RNA". It matches the Rfam family "Bacterial small subunit ribosomal RNA", at positions 524 to 776 of the family's 1533-position model. The record is from RNAcentral.
UACGGGGGGAGCAAGCGUUUGUUCGGAUUUACUGGGCGUAAAGGGCGCGUAGGCGGCCAGCACAAGUCAGUUGUGAAAUCUCCGAGCUUAACUCGGAAAGGUCAACUGAUACUGUGCGGCUAGAGUGCGGAAGGGGCAACUGGAAUUCUUGGUGUAGCGGUGAAAUGCGUAGAUAUCAAGAGGAACACCUGCGGCGAAGGCGGGUUGCUGGGCCGACACUGACGCUGAGGCGCGAAAAGCAUGGGGGAGCGAUCCGG